UUUGUGUAAGUUUUUAAGGGCGCAUGGUGGAUGCCUUGGCAUCAGGAACCGAUGAAGGACGUAGGAAUCUGCGAUAAGCCUCGGGGAGCCGAUAACCGGGCUGUGAUCCGAGGGUUUCCGAAUGGGGGAACCCCGCACCAGUUAUGUGGUGUGACCCGUACCUGAAUAUAUAGGGUGCGUGGAGGGAACGUGGGGAAGUGAAACAUCUCAGUACCCACAGGAAGAGAAAACAAGAGUGAUUCCGUGAGUAGUGGCGAGCGAAAGCGGAUGAGGCUAAACCAUGGUUGUGUGAUACCUGUCAGGGGUUGCAGUCAUGGGGUUGUGGGUUGUUGUCGUACCGUGUCUGACAGCGCGGUCGUGUGAUGGUGUGCGUGUAGCCGAACUGCUUUGAAUGGUAGACCGUAGUGGGUGGGAGUCCCGUAGGCGAAACAUGUAACACAGCGCGUGAUGAUGUACCCAAGUAGCACGGGGCUCGUGGAAUCUCGUGUGAAUCUGCCAGGACCACCUGGUAAGCCUAAAUAUUCCCUGAUGACCGAUAGCGGACUAGUACCGUGAGGGAAAGGUGAAAAGUACCCCGGGAGGGGAGUGAAAUAGUACCUGAAACCAUGCGCUUACAAUCCGUCAGAGCUGGCAUGCGUGCUGGUGAUGGCGUGCCUUUUGAAGAAUGAGCCUGCGAGUUAGUGCUCAGUGGCGAGGUUAACCCGUGUGGGGUAGCCGUAGCGAAAGCGAGUCCGAAGAGGGCGCCCGAAGUCGCUGGGUCUAGACCCGAAGCGGAGUGAUCUACCCAUGGCCAGGUUGAAGCGACGGUAAGACGUCGUGGAGGACCGAACCCACCUAGGUUGAAAACUGGGGGGAUGAGCUGUGGGUAGGGGUGAAAGGCCAAUCAAACUCCGUGAUAGCUGGUUCUCCCCGAAAUGCAUUUAGGUGCAGCGUCACGUGUUUCUUGCCGGAGGUAGAGCUACUGGAUGGCUGAUGGGCCUCACCAGGUUACUGACGUCAGCCAAACUCCGAAUGCCGGUAAGUGUAAGCGUGGCAGUGAGACUGCGGGGGAUAAGCUUCGUAGUCGAGAGGGAAACAGCCCAGAUCACCAGCUAAGGUCCCUAAGCGUGUGCUAAGUGGGAAAGGAUGUGGAGUUGCUGUGACAACCAGGAGGUUGGCUUAGAAGCAGCCACCCUUUAAAGAGUGCGUAAUAGCUCACUGGUCAAGUGAUUCCGCGCCGACAAUGUAGCGGGGCUCAAGCACACCACCGAAGCUGUGGCAAUCACACAAGUCCCUAGCGGCCCUUUUUGGGGGUUGUUCAGGGGUGUGGUUGGGUAGGGGAGCGUCGUGUCACCAGUGAAGUCCCGGUGUGAACCAGGGGUGGAGGUGACACGAGUGAGAAUGCAGGCAUGAGUAGCGAAUGACGGGUGAGAAACCCGUCCGCCGAAUAACCAAGGGUUCCAGGGUCAAGCUAAUCUGCCCUGGGUAAGUCGGGACCUAAGGCGAGGCCGACAGGCGUAGUCGAUGGACAUCCGGUUGAUAUUCCGGAACCGGCGAAGGACCGCCCAUAUCGAAUCAGGGGAUGCUAACCACCCGAACCGCCAUGUUUGAUCCCUUCGGGGUGAUGCGUGUGUGGGGAGCGUGGGACCCGAUCUUGUAGUAGGUAAGCAAUGGAGUGACGCAGGAAGGUAGCCUCCGCGGGGCGAUGGUUGUCCCCGUCCAAGCGUGUAAGCCGACUGGUAGGUAAAUCCGUCAGUCAUAUGGCCAAGGCGUGAUGGUGACCACGUAAUGUGGGAAGUAGGGUGAUCCUAUGCUGCCGAGAAAAACUUCUAGCGAGGUCCGAGCCGCCCGUACCCUAAACCGACUCAGGUGGUUAGGUAGAGAAUACUAAGGCGAUCGAGUGAAUCGUGGUUAAGGAAUUCGGCAAAAUGCCCCCGUAACUUCGGGAGAAGGGGGGCCCACCAUCUUGAAGCACUUCGCGUGCUAGGGGUGGGGGCCGCAGAGACCAGGGAGAAGCGACUGUUUACUAAAAACACAGGUCCGUGCGAAGAAGUAAUUCGAUGUAUACGGACUGACGCCUGCCCGGUGCUGGAACGUUAAGGGGACCGGUUAACAUCCUUGUGGUGUGAAGCUGAGAACUUAAGCGCCAGUAAACGGCGGUGGUAACUAUAACCAUCCUAAGGUAGCGAAAUUCCUUGUCGGGUAAGUUCCGACCUGCACGAAUGGCGUAACGACUUCUCCACUGUCUCAACCGCGAACUCGGCGAAAUUGCAUUACGAGUAAAGAUGCUCGUUACGCGCAGCAGGACGGAAAGACCCCGGGACCUUUACUACAGCUUGGUAUUGGUGUUCGGUACGGCUUGUGUAGGAUAGGUGGGAGACUGUGAAGCGCACGCGCCAGCGUG
Molecule: ribosomal RNA, 2383 nt
Filed under: Flexivirga aerilata
Lineage: Bacteria; Bacillati; Actinomycetota; Actinomycetes; Micrococcales; Dermacoccaceae
Description: Flexivirga sp. ID2601S partial 23S ribosomal RNA
Rfam family: Bacterial large subunit ribosomal RNA
Source: RNAcentral